GCAACUAGCUAUAUUCUUUGCUGAAUUAAAAGUAUAGAGGAGUGAGGGAAUGUGAAAAAACUAGAUGCUGACACCUCGAUCCGGCACCCAGCCCAGCGAGUCUGCCUGUGCGCAGCGGCCUUCACCAUGGAGAAGCUGAGUGCAGCAAACAACCACUUCACCUUAGACCUGUUCCGUGCCUUAAAUGAAGACAAUCCGACUGGAAACAUCUUCGUCUUUCCCUUCAGCAUUUCAUCAGCGAUGGCCAUGGUCUUUCUAGGGACCAGAGGCAACACUGCAGCACAACUAUCCAAGACUUUGCAUUUCAAUAUGGUUGAGGAGAUUCAUUCAAGAUUUCAGAAUCUGAAUGCUGAUAUCAACAAAAGUGGAGCACCCUACAUUCUGAAACUUGCUAAUAGAUUAUAUGGAGAGAAAAUCUUUAAUUCCUCACUGAGUUCUUGGAUUCGACUCAGAAAAUGUAUGGUGCUGAACUGGCCAGUGCAGACUUUCAGAAUGCCUCUGAAGAUGCAAGGAAAACCAUAAACCAGUGGGUGAAAGGACAGACGGAAGGGAAAAUUCUGGAACUGUUGGCUAAAGAUAUGGUUGGUAGCAUGACUAAACUUGUGUUAGUGAAUGCCAUCUAUUUCAAGGGAAACUGGCAGAAUCAAUUCAGGAAAAAAGACACAGCCAAUGCACCAUUCAGAUUGAAUAAGAAAGACACAAAAACAGUGAAAAUGAUGUAUCAGGAGAAAGCAUUUCCAUUUGGCUACAUCGAGGACUUUAAGACCCGUGUGCUGGAACUGCCUUACCAGGGCGAGGAGCUGAGCAUGCUCAUUCUGCUGCCCUACGACAUCGAGGAUGACUCCACGGGCCUGAAGAAGGUUGAGGAGCAACUGACUUUGGCAAAACUGCAGGAGUGGACCAAGCAUUUGGCAGUCACUCAAGUCAAUGUUGGCUUACCCUGGUUCAAACUGAAAGACAGCUAUGUCCUCAACAACCACCUCACCCGCCUGGGUGUGGAGGACCUGUUUGAUAGCAGCGAGGCUGAUCUGUCUGGCAUGUCAGGAGCCAGCGGUAUUUUUGUAUCAAAAAUUGUCCACAAGUCCUUUGUGGAAGUGAAUGAAAAGUGUACAGAGGCAGCGGCUGCAACAGCAGUGGAGGUUUUCUUCUGUAGCAAGAUGUCAGGGGAAACUUUCAUUGCCAACCAUCCAUUCCUUUUCUUUAUUUGGCACAAUCCCUCAGCCAGCAUCCUGUUCAUGGGCAGAUAUUCUUCCCCAUAG
This is an RNA transcript of Otolemur garnettii (small-eared galago), 1259 nucleotides long. It is a transcript of the gene named leukocyte elastase inhibitor pseudogene, with no coding region annotated. The record is from RefSeq and is a predicted model, not a curated record. The transcript has a single exon. Lineage: Eukaryota; Metazoa; Chordata; Mammalia; Primates; Galagidae.